RNAcentral lists this long non-coding RNA (1178 nucleotides) under Salvator merianae (Argentine black and white tegu). Its description in RNAcentral is "lncRNA (ENSSMRG00000021491.1)". Lineage: Eukaryota; Metazoa; Chordata; Lepidosauria; Squamata; Teiidae. The record is from RNAcentral.
AUGGCGGGCACGUUCGCCGCCUACCCCUUCGGCUGGGAGGUGGACUCCGGCACCCUGGUGGCCCCGCAAGGACGCAGGCAAGACUGGAGGCUGACCAGCAGCGGAGUGGGGCUCAAUUACACGCCCCCUCUGCCUUUCCCGCCGCCUUAUGCACGAUCUACCAUCCACGAGCCGCUGCCCCCCGCAUCCGAAAAAGGGUUCCGAGAUGAGGUCCUUCCAAGGCUGGCCACCAUCUAUCAACUCGCUUAUGUCCCGAAGACCCACGGCGGCGUCCUCAGUCAGCCCCGCUAUUCCGUCGCCGACGCACACUGGAAUGUCCACUACAAUAAAGAUUUGCGGGAGAAGCUGAAACUGCGGGCAUGGAGGUUUCCACUGACUAUGGGCAACCAGAAGAGCGAGACUCGGGACCGUUAUCCCGGCUGGCCCAAUCUGCCUCAUGAGCCAACCUUCCAUGCUGGACCUCAGCCUUUUGCGUUAGCAGCUCAUCACACCGAAGGAGCAUCCAAGUCCGUCGUGGCCAGCACACGGAAUGAAGAACUGGCAGGCAGGCCUUUCUAUGUCCGUGACAAGGCGGUUCUGCGGCUCAAUGAACCUUAUAUGUCCGUUACCACCCGAGACUUCCGGGCCUUCACAGAGAAGGAGCUGCAGGGCUCCCCUCAGAAGGAUGCUCUCACCUACUGGCAGUGGGAAGGCCUUGCAAAGGGCCGUGGCUCGAAGGAGAAUGCCCAGGCAAAGGACGUCUAUCCCCUAAUCCGUCAACCUGGACCAAUGCGGGACAUCAGACAGUUCCCUACAGCUACUCGAGUGCCCCGUCUGCCCCCAAACAAUGUUGCUGUUCCCCACCAUGGAUUGCUCAGCCUCGCAAAGGAGUCUUACCAACCACCCCACGACUACAAGCGCACGUGGGACCGCUUUUGCCCGGUGGAAAAGCCACCCACAGUCUCUUACCGGGUGCCUAUCGUGGAAAUCAUGUGUGUGCCACACAUGUAUGAGACGGAGUAUAAAUGUUACGGCAGUGGCAAACCCAUGCCAGUGUGAGAGGCUGCAGGUGGCGAUUACUUCCACAGUGGGGCUGCUUUCUUUACUCCCAUUCAGGCAAACAGAUUCUGGAUAUCACUGGAUUUUGCAUUCAUUUUGCAGAAAAAAAAACAAUAAAGGCUGCUGUUAAAGAGCCUUCA